Molecule: transfer RNA, 792 nt
Filed under: uncultured Synechococcus sp.
Lineage: Bacteria; Bacillati; Cyanobacteriota; Cyanophyceae; Synechococcales; Synechococcaceae
Description: partial 16S-23S ribosomal RNA intergenic spacer
Rfam family: tRNA (bases 284-356)
Source: RNAcentral
GGCUGGAUCACCUCCUAACAGGGAGACAAACUGAUAGUGAUGUCUGAGUAAUUUUAUUCUCAGGCCGCUAUCCUGUCAUCUUUAGGUCGAUCGGUACCUCAGGGGGCUUUGCAUCAAGGAAGUGGCAACAUUUCCAAGGAUGAUAAAGCUUUUUCAGUUCCUAAACUUUGUCUAGGUCACCCCACCGCGGGUAAAUUCCUGGGCCAUUAGCUCAGGUGGUUAGAGCGCACCCCUGAUAAGGGUGAGGUCCCUGGUUCAAGUCCAGGAUGGCCCAUUCGUGUUUGGGGGUUUAGCUCAGUUGGUAGAGCGCCUGCUUUGCAAGCAGGAUGUCAGCGGUUCGAGUCCGCUAACCUCCAUCCAACAACGUGCUUAGCCUUUAAGCCAGACAUGCCGGUGGCAUGCAAGCCUAGGAGUUAGGCUGUGUUGGUGAUCUUGACGUUUGUUCGCUGAGGAUUUUAACUUCUUUUCAUGGGCAUUCAUGAGUAUUCAUGAGCAUGCAUGAAAAGACGCUGAAUUCAAAGACUGCCUCCCGCAAGGAGGCAGUUUGUAUUUCAGCAGAACCUUGACAACUGUAUAGGUAAGUCUGGAAAAUAAGCAUCUCAUGGAUGCUUGAUCCAGGGUUCAAGAUAGCUCCAGCGAUGGGGUUGUUUUGGGCACUGAAUCAAGAAAAUUCUAUUGAGUUUUUAGAGCCGAGAGCUUUCAGUUUUCUUGUCUAUCCGCCGAGGGUAGAUGAGUUUGAUCCUGGCAUUCAAACCCCAGCAGUGGCCAUGAGCAAUUAUGGCUGCAGCUGGA